CCCUUAGAUGUUCUGGGCUGCACGCGUGCUACACUGAUAUUGCCAGAAUGUAAUAUCUUAUCCGAAAUGGAUUGGGUAAUCAAGUAAUGAAAUUUCAUGCUUGGAAUCGGUAAUUGCAAUUUUAUCGUGAACGAGGAAUUCCUAGUAAGCACUAGUCAUCAGCUAAUGUUGAUUAUGUCCCUGCCCUUUGUACACACCGCCCGUCGCUACUACUGAUUGGGUGUUCAAGUGAGAUGCUUAGACCCUUGUUGCAUGGUUCAUUAUUGUGCUCCGAAAGGAAAAAGUUUCAAGCUUGAGUGUCUAGAGGAAGUAAAAGUCGUAACA
RNAcentral lists this ribosomal RNA (324 nucleotides) under uncultured eukaryote. RNAcentral describes it as "partial 18S ribosomal RNA". It matches the Rfam family "Eukaryotic small subunit ribosomal RNA", at positions 1470 to 1796 of the family's 1831-position model. The record is from RNAcentral.